This 411-nucleotide ribosomal RNA is filed under the name Triticum aestivum (bread wheat). RNAcentral describes it as "partial small subunit ribosomal RNA". The record is from RNAcentral. Lineage: Eukaryota; Viridiplantae; Streptophyta; Magnoliopsida; Poales; Poaceae.
AUGGCGGAAUACCACGCCGCAGCAUGGGCAGUCGGCGGUUGCGCUAUAUACAUGAGUGACAAACCCGAAAACCAUGACUUCGAUCUGCUGAGGAAGCUUGUGUUUCCUAACGGAUCAAUCCUGCGAGCCAAACUGCCCGGGGGACAAACUGCACUACCGUUGUCGCAGAAAUUCCAUGCGAUGGAAGCUUCUAGAGCCUGCUGGUACUUCCUAGCUAGAAGCCCCACGAGCUCGACGUCCAGCCCUACAACCACCACCCCACGCACAAGUGCUUUGCUCUUGCUCAUGUCUAGCACCGUCUCCGGCGCGGUGGUGCUUCUUGAGGUGACCGGCGUGACGGCGGCGACCACAAGCUCUCCGGUGAGUCGGCUCCAUCUUCUAGCCCUAGCUCCCUAUUUUCUGCUCCUAUAG